Molecule: ribosomal RNA, 253 nt
Filed under: uncultured bacterium
Lineage: Bacteria
Description: partial 16S ribosomal RNA
Rfam family: Bacterial small subunit ribosomal RNA
Source: RNAcentral
UACGAGGGGGGCGAGCGUUGUUCGGAAUUAUUGGGCGUAAAGGGUGCGUAGGCGGUUUGGUAAGUCUUAUGUGAAAUCUACAGGCUCAACUUGUAGUCUGCAUGAGAAACUGCCGGGCUUGAGUGUGGGAGAGGUGAGUGGAAUUCCUGGUGUAGCGGUGAAAUGCGUAGAUAUCAGGAGGAACACCGGUGGCGAAGGCGGGUCUCUGGGCCAUUACUGACGCUGAGGAGCGAAAGCGUGGGGAGCGAACAGG